CUUGAACUGGGUGGGUUUCAACAGUGACUUGUGUAGGCGCUUCAGGGCCUGACCAACCAAGAGGAGCUGGAAAUUGCUGGCGCACCUGUAAAAAUUAACACAGAGGUUUCACUAGUAAAUGGCAAAGCUGGCACUUAAGUCUUGUUUCUCGUCUGUCACACACUCCGCCGGUACAGAAAAUACGUUGUAGUGACGGCCAAAGUGUGUCUACUCUACGCACAAACAUGUUAGGAAGGAGAAGUCAGCCGUCAGUUAUCAAAAGUUGGAAGCGAACAGAAAGCGUCUUCCAACAUGGCUUAAAGACUCGGACUUCAUGUGUCAAUAGGGCUGCUAGCAGGGCGAUCACUGGUGGCAGGAGAGCUGGGUUUCAGGGUAACCAGCACAAUCUUUUAAAUACUGUCUAUAUGGUAAUACAGACAACAUAGACCUAAUAUUGUCAAGGUGGUAACUCUUAAGUUACUGGAAGUUCUUGUGUAUUCCUUCCUUCAGUAGCAUUUUUAAAGUAUACCUGAGGACUGUGUGUUUCACAGUCCAUUGCUUGGACAGCAGCUGUAAAAUGACCACCACUAUGCCGAUGCUGAUGUGUUGGAUCUGACCGGGCCCUUCCACUGUUGCUUGUCCCUGAAGAUCCACCUUAAAAGAACCGAAACAGAAUAAAAAAAGGCUGCUUUUAUGGAAUUGAAAUUUUAAAAUGUGACGCUUGGCUUUUUAAAAAAUGUGCUAAGUAAUAAUAUUGAAAGGUACCAACAUUUUUUUCAAGACUAUCAGCAAACAUCUACCUGAGCUUGAAGAUGUACUAGAGGUGGUUCCUGAAGACUGUGACUGCUCCAUGGCAGGACUUGUGGAGACACUGUUACUCGUAUUUGUACCUUCAUCUGCUGUUUUCUUAAAAAAACUAUGCUGCAGGGCAUAAUAUGGUUGGAUUCUAGUCUUAGGGUCAUAAUCAAGCAUCCUUAAGAUGAGGUCUUUGAACUUCAAGUAGUCCGCCACAGUAUGUCCAGAUUCCCCAGCACGGCGUCCCCCGGGGCCUCCUGUUUCUACUCCAAGAAUAUUAUGAAGUUUACGAGUUCCUGGCGGUUUAUACUCCUAUGAAAAAAGAAUAAAAUAGGUUUUCUACAAAUUUGAAAAAAAUUAAUCCAAUAUUAAACCAACUUAAUGCAAUAUUCA
Long non-coding RNA from Monodelphis domestica (gray short-tailed opossum), 1167 nucleotides. RefSeq lists it as uncharacterized. The record is from RefSeq and is a predicted model, not a curated record. NCBI's taxonomy places the organism in Eukaryota, Metazoa, Chordata, Mammalia, Didelphimorphia, Didelphidae.